This 73-nucleotide transfer RNA is filed under the name Acropora cervicornis. Its description in RNAcentral is "tRNA-Ala". It matches the Rfam family "tRNA". From Rfam's summary of the family: Transfer RNA (tRNA) molecules are approximately 80 nucleotides in length. Their secondary structure includes four short double-helical elements and three loops (D, anti-codon, and T loops). Further hydrogen bonds mediate the characteristic L-shaped molecular structure. tRNAs have two regions of fundamental functional importance: the anti-codon, which is responsible for specific mRNA codon recognition, and the 3' end, to which the tRNAs corresponding amino acid is attached (by aminoacyl-tRNA synthetases). tRNAs cope with the degeneracy of the genetic code in two manners: having more than one tRNA (with a specific anti-codon) for a particular amino acid; and 'wobble' base-pairing, i.e. permitting non-standard base-pairing at the 3rd anti-codon position. The record is from RNAcentral. Lineage: Eukaryota; Metazoa; Cnidaria; Anthozoa; Scleractinia; Acroporidae.
GGCCUGAUAGCUCAACUGGUAGAGCACUGCAUUGGCAUGGCAGAUGUCAGGGUCUAAAUCCCUGUUCAGGCCU